MicroRNA precursor from Microtus ochrogaster (prairie vole), 62 nucleotides. Lineage: Eukaryota; Metazoa; Chordata; Mammalia; Rodentia; Cricetidae. The record is from Ensembl.
AUGGGGUGGGGGAUGGGUUCCUUGGCCCCAGGCACCAGUCCAGCAGCUCCUGCUCCCUACAG